CUGGCCCUGAAUCAAGGCCGGCAGCUUCCUGAUGCUGUUGAUCUCAAGCAAGAGUCUAAAGAGAUGUCUUUCUAUGGUCUGUUGGCCAUUUCAGAACUUGGGCAGUGAAAUGGUCAAGUCAUUAGAAACAAACAGCU
This is a small nucleolar RNA of Cavia porcellus (domestic guinea pig), 137 nucleotides long. NCBI's taxonomy places the organism in Eukaryota, Metazoa, Chordata, Mammalia, Rodentia, Caviidae. The record is from Ensembl.